RNAcentral lists this ribosomal RNA (331 nucleotides) under uncultured eukaryote. RNAcentral describes it as "partial 18S ribosomal RNA". It matches the Rfam family "Eukaryotic small subunit ribosomal RNA", at positions 1470 to 1796 of the family's 1831-position model. The record is from RNAcentral.
CCCUUAGAUGUUCUGGGCCGCACGCGCGCUACACUGUUCGACGCAGCGAGUCUUAACCUUGACCGAAAGGUUUGGGUAAUCUCCAGCAAAGUCGAACGUGAUGGGGAUCGAUCAUUGCAAUUAUUGAUCGUGAACGAGGAAUUCCUAGUAAGUGCAAGUCAUCAGCUUGCGCUGAUUACGUCCCUGCCCUUUGUACACACCGCCCGUCGCUACUACCGAUUGAAUGGUUUAGUGAGAUCUCUGGAUUGACGCUGGCUAGGGGGCGACCCUUGGCCAGGCUGUCGAGAAACUGCUCAAACUUGAUCAUUUAGAGGAAGUAAAAGUCGUAACA